CCAGAGGCAGGCAGCAGAGGAUAUUGUGCGAGACAGGACCAAACUGGCACACGUGCCUGUUCAGGUGUGGCACGGAUUUAUCCCUGAGUCCUUAUUUGGAGAUUGGUUCUCAUCCUUGGAAGGAUUCAAAACCCUCAUCAUAAGUAUUCUAAUAAUAAGAUGGGAUUUCUCCAUGUUGGCCAAGCUGGUCUCCAACUCCUGAGCUUGUGAUCCACCCACCUCAUCCUCCCAAAGGGCUGGGAUUAGAGGUGUGAGCCAUUGCACCCAGCCAGAUUAUUUGUUACUUGAUGGAGUUUUGCUCUUGUCACCCAGGCCGGCAUGCAGUGGUGCCAUCUUGGCUCACUGCGACCUCCACCUCCCAGGUUCAAGAGAUUCUCCUGCCUCAGCCUCCGAGUAGUUGGAAUUACAGGCAUGUGCCACCACGCCCAGAUAGAGAUCUCUCUAGCUAACUUUACUGGAUCUAUCAGAAGAAGAGGAGUGAAGGAAAGAUACCCAGCCACACAAAAGCACUUCAUGAUGGCAGCAGCGUGAUUGCCUGGAAGUUCCUAUAUAAACAAGGAGCAUUUGAAGGCAUCUGGGAUGGUUUACUAGUUUCACAGAAUUUUAUUCUUCUUGGUUUCUCUUGAGAGGGAAAAUAACAUAAAUUCAAAAGGAUUCCAAUCUGAAGCCCAAAUUAUUGGCCUACAUAACAAAAAUAUCUUUUCCUGCACAUUAUUAUUCUCUUAUGGGUUAAAAGGAAAAAAACUUUUAGUGUCUUAGAAUUUUUUCAUGAUAAAAAGUGCAAGAAUUUAAGAUGCUCCUUUUAUACUCCUAUAAUUCUCCCUAAGUAUUAACUUUGUAUAUGUUUCAGUAAUUUUCUAAAAACUGCUCAAUCUGAAAUUAAUUUCGUUGACCAUUUGGCUAUGUACAAUAAGGAGAAAAUGAUUGAUUCAUUGAUUAUAUAGAGAGAAAGACUAAUAAAAGCCAUUAAUUGC
Long non-coding RNA from Callithrix jacchus (white-tufted-ear marmoset), 974 nucleotides. RefSeq lists it as uncharacterized. The record is from RefSeq and is a predicted model, not a curated record. NCBI's taxonomy places the organism in Eukaryota, Metazoa, Chordata, Mammalia, Primates, Cebidae.